RNAcentral lists this long non-coding RNA (1416 nucleotides) under Heterocephalus glaber (naked mole-rat). RNAcentral describes it as "lncRNA (ENSHGLG00100050968.1)". Lineage: Eukaryota; Metazoa; Chordata; Mammalia; Rodentia; Bathyergidae. The record is from RNAcentral.
GUCUCGUUGUGUAGUUCAGCCUACCUUGAACUCACUAUGUAGCCCAGGCUGGCCUCGAACUCAUGGUGAUCCUCCUGCUUCAGCCUCCGGAGUGCUUCAUGUCCAUUCUUUUUUUUUUUUUUUUUUUUUAAUUUGUUUUUUGGUACUGGGGAUCAAACUCCAGACCUUGCGCUUGCGAGGCAGGCGUUCAUAUCCAUUCUUGAAAUGCCAGUUCCAGACAGUAAUAAUCCUUAGUGAAAGACCUGGAGGCUUUUCUUGAAAGACCAGGAAUUUAUGACCAGGUGUGUGCAGCCUUACCCAAUUUCAAAUACAGCUUUAUCUGGUCUUCUGAUCUAUUUGCUUGAUUCUGCAACAAAGAAUCUCCAUUUUUAUUUAAUUUAAAAGCAAUAAAUUUUGGUACUUUAUUUUCUAUAUGUUUUAGAGUAUAAGUUUCUAAAAAAAAAAAACUGGUGGGAUUUUGGAUUUGCAUUCAGUUUUUUGGUUUGUUUUGGUUUGUUUUUCCGUUUGUUUUCAGGCAGGGUCUUGCUGUGUAAUCCAGGCUGGAUUUAAACUUUCCAUGUAACCCAGGCUGUCCUUGAACUCGCAGAAAUCUUGCCUCAGCUUCCUAAGUGCUGGGAUUACAGGCAUGUGCCACCCCUGACUGGAUUUGCAUUGAGUUUGCAGAUUCAGUUAGAACCGACAUCUUUACAUAGUUGAGAGAGGAGGCAAGGCCUAAUGUGCUCCAAGAGCCACAGGGACCCCAACACCUGAGACUCCACAGCUGCUCACGGAGACUUGGCUGUGAUAGCAUCUGUCCCAGGUCCUGCCCAGGUGACUGUCCCAGGCAUCUCUGGAAGGGGCUCACAGCUAAGAGUUUGCCUUGAGUAUCAGAGGAGACUUUGGACUUGGGCUUUUCAGUAACACUGGAACUGUUAAGACUUUAGUGACUUUUUGAGAUGGACCAAAUGCAUUUUGCAUAAAGAGAUGUACAUGAGGUUUUUUUUGGGUCUAGCCGUGGAAUGUUAUAGGUUACAUCUAGAUGUCCCCCAAGAGCCUCAUUCACUCACAGAUGGAGGUUUUGUAAGGUGACUGCAUCACGGGGCACUGUAGCUCAAUGUGAUCUUAGGAGGUAGGGGCUGGUGAGAGGAGCCGAGUCACUGGGUAUUGUGACCUGGUAGGGUGUAUCUCCCUCCUUUGUUCCUUCUUUCACUCUCUGCUUCCUGGCUGCCAGAACACAAGCAGCUUUCCUCCUCUAUGGACCUAUGCUAUGCUGUUCUUCCUUGGAGACAGCAAACUAUGGACAAAAACAUGAGCUCAAAUAAACCCCUCUCUCUUAAUUUGUGUGUAUUUUGUCCCAGCAAUGAGGAAAGUGGCUAAGAAACCCUACAAUCUUUAGUAGACAUUAUUGCUUUUCUCUAUACAGUUUUUGAUCAUUUU